ACUUUAGUAAUUUAUUACUAUAUUAUUAUAUAUUUUGCAUUGUAUAAUGUUGCAUUAUAUAAACAAUAGCCUGUUGAUGCAAUUUUAAACAUGCCAGAAGAUAUAUCAUUGCAAAAAAUUUUAAUUGAUAAAGGAAAUGGACCACAAGAUAUCUCUGUACUUAAAUCACCUAUAAAUUUGGUAAUACACACUGGUAAUGUUGCAAACUGGCAUAAUCUAAAAUCAAGAAAAGCUCAAGUCCCUGCUAAUGAGCUUUUUCAAAGUUUGCAGACCACAUUAUUAAAAUGGAAUGCUAAUUCCUCCAAUGAUAAUGAGGAAAAGUGCUGUGAAGCUCUUGAUGAUUAUUACAAUAAUGAUGAAGAAAGACCGCUUGUCACAAUAACAGUAAAAAUUCUUCUUCAUAAAUUCAAAACAGAUUUUAUUGAAAGUGCUGUAAAUACAACAUUAGAUUUAUUGAGUGUUACUUACUUUGAUACUCUCAUUUUGGCAUUGCCACCAUUGGAAGAGUCUGAAGAAUCAUUCCAGCAAGUUGUAUUACCAUAUUGGGAGGUAAUGGAAAAGUUAAACAGAAGUGGUGUUGCUAAAAUGAUAUCUUCAUGCGAUUUGGAUCAACAAAAGCUACAGUCACUUAUUGAAAAAGCUUCUAUUCCUCCAAUGAUUAAUCAAGUAAAUCUUACAUCAUGUUGCCACAUGCCACAAGAUUUGGUUGCAUUUGCAAAAGAAAACAAUAUUAUAUUACAUACACAUGGAGAUCAACAAGUAAUGUUAGGAGAAAUAGCUGUUGACAAUUUAAUCAAGUCCGUUGAUCCGACCAAUAAUUUGCUGUGGGAAACAAAUUGGGUUAUUCGAUAUGCAGUCGUCAUCAAGUGUCGAGGAGUCAUUAAAAGCAAAGGAUAUAUUGCUUCUCUAUCUUCGAAGCAUAUAUGAAUAUCAAUAACAUGAAACUUAGUAUACAGUGAUGCAUUUUUAAGCACGUUUUUAGUAUCUAGUCUACCUACUCAGCGUAAAUAAAGAGAGAUCUGAAGGAAAGUAUUGCGUUUAGGCUCUUUCGUUUUCAAAAAAUACCGACUUCUUUUUUGCGCGUUCUGAUUGGUUUAUUUGUUUUUUAAAAAUCUUGAAACUCUGUUUUAUUUUGUUUAUAAAUGUGUGGUGAUAUCUACGAAUUUCAAAUUUUAGCUAAUUACUUUAGGGGCAAGAGUUAUAUAAAAGCUCGAACGUUUUUUUUGGUUUUUUUUUGGUAAUUAAUUUAAACGACUAUAAAGAGAUUAUGGAAUUAAAUUAACUGAAGUAAAAACUAAUGUGAAAUUUUUGAUUUGA
Molecule: RNA transcript, 1317 nt
Organism: Hydra vulgaris (swiftwater hydra)
Lineage: Eukaryota; Metazoa; Cnidaria; Hydrozoa; Anthoathecata; Hydridae
Gene name: glutamate--cysteine ligase regulatory subunit
Source: RefSeq, a predicted model, not a curated record